RNAcentral lists this ribosomal RNA (320 nucleotides) under uncultured bacterium. RNAcentral describes it as "bacterial SSU rRNA". It matches the Rfam family "Bacterial small subunit ribosomal RNA", at positions 29 to 334 of the family's 1533-position model. The record is from RNAcentral.
AACGAACGCUGGCGGCGUGCUUAACACAUGCAAGUCGAGCGAGAAAGCCGUUUCGGGGUGAGUACAGCGGCGCACGGGUGAGUAACACGUGGAUAAUCUACCUUUGGUCUGGAACAACCCGGGGAAACUCGAGCUAAUCCCGGAUAAGACCACGAAUCGUAAGAGACGUGGGAAAAGCGGGGGACCUUUUCGAAGGCCUCGUGCCGAUUGAUGAGUCCGCGGCCCAUCAGCUUGUUGGCGGGGUAAUGGCCCACCAAGGCUAAGACGGGUAGCUGGUCUGAGAGGAUGAUCAGCCACACUGGAACUGAGACACGGUCCAG